RNA transcript from Phymastichus coffea, 1945 nucleotides. RefSeq lists it as uncharacterized. The record is from RefSeq and is a predicted model, not a curated record. Lineage: Eukaryota; Metazoa; Arthropoda; Insecta; Hymenoptera; Eulophidae. The transcript has 2 exons.
UUCAAUUGGAAAUAAUCUAUUAUUUAUGAAGUAAGCGCGUAAAAAUCACCAAUUAUCUCAUCGAAACUUCGGAUGUGCGCCAUUGGUUUUCCCGAUAUAUUCAUAUAAAACUUAUCGACUCGACGAUUCAGAAGGUUAUCAAAUCUAUUAUGAUUCAAACGAUGUGCAGAAAGAACUUGCGACAAUUUGAAAAAAAAAAAAAAAAAGAAAAGAAGGUUACGUCCGUCGCAGCGAUAAGCACAACAGCGGCAUGGAAUCUGCAACGCUAAUCGACCGUCUUGCCUCUUCUUUUUUUGCAACGGCAGCAGCAGCAGUUGUAGUCUAUGCUGUUACAAGUUUACGAUCACACGAUUGAUUUCUAUAAGUUUUUCCCUCCACAACAAAUCGGGCAAGACCGUGACCUUCGCGGACAACGAAAGCCCUUUGUGCGCGAUUUUUUUUCUCUCUCGCCUCGAGCAAAAUAAUCGUUAAUGGAAUAGUUGUAGUGAAUCCGUGAAAUGUGUCUUCAUUGAGCAGUGCCGGGAUGAACGACGAUCCAGGGCAUAAGAAAUAAAGAUCUUGCUCGGUAGAAAAACAAAAUUAAUUAUCUUAAGAAAGUGAUGACGAUUUUUAUCGUAGACGACGUUGCCGAUGCCCAUUACGCAUUCAGUUCGCCAAUCGAUAGAAGCCUCAGCUGGUCCGGAGAAAUUCACGUAGAUUACCGAGAAUUCGACAGCAUAAAACCGCCUACAUACGAUACACUUGCGAGCGCUGAUAACCACAGUUUUGCUCUUCUGCGAUGUAAACGCUUCGGAGAUGCUUAUUUCAAGAAUUGCAGUUUAACCACGCGAACGCACACUUUCGACGGGUGGCGUAUGUAUUCUCGGGUCAUCUUUAUGCACAGCUGUCGGGCGAGUCAUUUCAUUCGUCUGCGUACAAACAUGGACGAAGACUCGGCUGUUUUCGCAGUGCUCGGAUUUGCAAAUUCUUUCGUCAUUAUUUUCGGCGAACAAGAGUCGCGCACCGCUGACGAUUAUUGCAAAGUAUUUACGACUACGAUGGGAAACCUUUGUACAGCGUUCCUUCGUCAAUUUCAGCAGCGUCAUUAUCGAGAAAUGGCAAGUUUACUUUUGGAAAAGCUUAUCCCAUGGUCUACGAUUCCGGAGAAGGUAUUGUCUUGGUCGGUCGGCAAGAUGGACUUCCCUUCGGAACAAAAAACAUUUAUUCUCCAUUGUUAGGUUGGUUGGAAGCGAAAAAUAUUUCUUACUUGGAAAAUGUGUAUUCGAACUCGACUGGCUUUGCCACGCUUUGUUGGCGGCCGAUUCGCGUUCCUAAUCAACUUAGCUGCAAGUUAGAUGGAACUUGAAAAAAAUCAGAUGAUUACUUUUGAAUUCAAACUAUUUUUUUUUUUCAAAAAUGCCACGUGUUUAUAAUUCACUAAGUGGCAAUAUCAUAGUGGUCAACCGAGGCUUGGACGAUAGAGGUUGAAUCUAUUCGUGGAUGAAGCUAUUACAGACAUCCAAUGUAAGCGUUUGGUCAAAGUUUUCUGUCCUGUCUAUAACGAUAUAGUUGCGAUUUUAAUGUACUGGUGCGAUCAAUUUUGCUUUUCUCAGUUGUUCAAAAACUGGGAAUAUUUUGGUAGUUCGUCGGUCGUAAAAUACACGUUGACUACCAAGUACGCUGAUAUGCCGAAUUAUAACAUCCUUAAGUACACACUGAUCUUGUAAACGAUAUCAAAUGCAAAUGGAUAGCAGAAGUUCCAUCUCUACUUUUCUUGUUUAUUGCUACUGGUAUACCACCAACAGUGUACUACGCUUUGGAUGCCGAAUACAUUAAACGACCGUAUCAUUCGACCCAGAAGUAGAACGAAAAGUGAUACCGCUCUUUAUAACGACGUAAAUUGUGAAUCGUUACUGGAAUAAAAAACAGAAUUCGGAAAAAGCUUGACCGAUGGUUCAGUUUUUGA